GGUCUUAUAGUUUAUAUAAAAAUAUUAAACUGCAAAUUUAAAGAUAUUCAAAUUUUUAAGACUU
This 64-nucleotide transfer RNA is filed under the name Agnesiella aldera. RNAcentral describes it as "tRNA-Cys". It matches the Rfam family "tRNA". From Rfam's summary of the family: Transfer RNA (tRNA) molecules are approximately 80 nucleotides in length. Their secondary structure includes four short double-helical elements and three loops (D, anti-codon, and T loops). Further hydrogen bonds mediate the characteristic L-shaped molecular structure. tRNAs have two regions of fundamental functional importance: the anti-codon, which is responsible for specific mRNA codon recognition, and the 3' end, to which the tRNAs corresponding amino acid is attached (by aminoacyl-tRNA synthetases). tRNAs cope with the degeneracy of the genetic code in two manners: having more than one tRNA (with a specific anti-codon) for a particular amino acid; and 'wobble' base-pairing, i.e. permitting non-standard base-pairing at the 3rd anti-codon position. The record is from RNAcentral. RNAcentral also lists the same sequence under 1 other name. Lineage: Eukaryota; Metazoa; Arthropoda; Insecta; Hemiptera; Cicadellidae.